GGCCUCGUAGCGUAAUGGUUAACGCGCUAGAUUUCGGCACAUCACCGUGAAAUGCUCUAGAGAUUGGGAGUUCGAAUCUUCCCGGGGUCG
This is a non-coding RNA of Bisporella sp. PMI_857, 90 nucleotides long. Lineage: Eukaryota; Fungi; Ascomycota; Leotiomycetes; Helotiales; Helotiaceae. The record is from the annotation of a GenBank genome assembly.